AUGGGCAACUGCUUCGGGAGCAGGAUCGGCUCCGACAGCCCCUACAAGGGCACCAGCGGCUCCAACUCCCCUUCCUCCUCCUCAGGGUGGGCGUGGAGGAGGAAGGGGAAAGGGGGCGCGAGCGUGUCGAGCAGCCGGGUGUCGUCCUCGCCGUCGACGACGGUGCCGCCGACGCCGCGGAGCGAGGGCGAGAUCCUGCAGUCGGCCAACGUCAAGAGCUUCGCCUUCAACGAGCUCAAGACGGCCACCCGGAACUUCCGGCCCGACAGCGUGCUCGGCGAGGGCGGCUUCGGGUCCGUCUUCAAGGGCUGGGUCGACGAGACCACCUUCGCGCCCGCCCGCCCCGGCACCGGCAUGGUCAUCGCCGUCAAGAAGCUCAACCAGGAGGGCUUCCAGGGCCACCGCGAGUGGCUGGCUGAAGUGAACUACCUCGGCCAGUUGUCGCACCCAAAUCUUGUCAGGCUCGUCGGGUACUGCCUCGAGGACGAGCAGCGCCUCCUCGUCUACGAGUUCAUGCCGCGAGGGAGCCUCGAGAACCAUCUUUUCAGAAGGGGCUCGCAUUUCCAGCCACUGUCAUGGAACCUGAGGAUGAAGGUCGCGCUCGGGGCGGCCAGGGGGCUCGCCUUCCUCCACAGCGACAUGGCCAAGGUCAUCUACCGCGACUUCAAGACGUCCAACGUUCUCCUUGACUCGAGCUACAACGCUAAGUUGUCCGAUUUCGGGCUGGCCAAGGACGGGCCGACCGGCGACAAGAGCCAUGUCUCCACAAGGGUCAUGGGCACUCAUGGCUAUGCCGCGCCGGAGUAUCUUGCAACAGGGCAUCUGACGGCGAAGAGUGACGUGUACAGCUUCGGGGUGGUGCUGCUGGAGAUGCUGUCGGGGCGGCGGGCGCUGGACAAGAACCGGCCGUCGGGGGAGCACAACCUGGUGGAGUGGGCGCGGCCGUACCUCACCAGCAAGCGCCGGGUGUUCCACAUCCUGGACGCGCGGCUGGGCGGCCAGUACUCGCUGUCCGGCGCGCAGAAGACGGCGGCGCUGGCCCUGCGGUGCCUCUCCGGCGACGCCCGGGCCCGCCCCGGCAUGGCGGAGGUGGUGACCGCGCUCGAGCAGCUGCAGGACGCCAAGGAGACGGCCGCCGCGGGGGGCGGGCAGGGGAAGGCGUCCGGGGGGUUCGUUAGGAUACGCGGUGGCGGUGGCAGCGGGAGCAGCGAGGGGCGGCAGCAGCGGCGGCCCGAGCCCAUGGCCGUGCGGCGGCUGCCGGCGGCGCCGCUGCGGUCGCACCCCGAGUGA
RNAcentral lists this ribosomal RNA (1290 nucleotides) under Triticum aestivum (bread wheat). RNAcentral's name for it is "partial small subunit ribosomal RNA". Lineage: Eukaryota; Viridiplantae; Streptophyta; Magnoliopsida; Poales; Poaceae. The record is from RNAcentral.